Molecule: non-coding RNA, 1062 nt
Organism: Danio rerio (zebrafish)
Lineage: Eukaryota; Metazoa; Chordata; Actinopteri; Cypriniformes; Danionidae
Source: RefSeq, a predicted model, not a curated record
CUACCUUAACCGUCACAGUAAUGUAAAAACAGAUCUGGAGUCUUCUCUAUUAGUAUAGCUGAUUAACAAUGUGAAUGGAUGAUAACCGCGUUCUGAGUGACAUUUACUGCGCAGAAGGCCCAUUUCUAUCAGCUGAUAACCACUGAUAAAGCUGAUUAAAGCAGCUGACAGGACAUGGUCAAACGACAUUAUUGGACCACACUAACCAGCCAAAUGUGGGUCCCAAAUGUGACAUGGCACUAGACUUUUAGGUAUUUUAGAGAUGUGUAAUAAAUGAAUGUAUGAUGUGGUUUUAUGUGUCUUUGGCAGCGAGAAGAGGCUGAAUCCAAAGCCUAAGAGGAAGCAGAGAAACAGAGGAUCAAACAAGAGAAACACUUCCAGAAGGAGGAGCUGGAACGCUUGGAAAGAAAGAAGCGUCUGGAAGAAAUCAUGAAGAGGACUCAUAAGAGUGAUGCAGGAGCACAGGUGAGGGAGAAAACUCCAACUCAAGUGAAUGGCAGAGUCACUGACAGCAUAAUACAGAAAAAUCUGUCAGAAGCUCUUCAUAGUGGUGUGACAAACCAAUCACCAAUGAGCUCUGUGUCCUGGGAUACAGCACCAGUCAGCACCAGCUCCGCCCACUAAGCAUCAUAAUGGACUGUCCUCCAAUGGAGACGCAGCAGACUUUGAGGAGAUAAUCAAGCUGUCCAAUCACAGUGGGAACAGUGGAAUCAUGGCCUUCGAGAGGUGCUGUGAGAGAUGAGAUAUCAGAGUCUUCUGGACAUAAUGAGAAGAAGAGAAGCCUUGCUCUACCACUGCUUCCACCCUGACGUGUGCCAAACCAACAAAAACAGACUGCUUUAACUUUAGAAACACUGCCGAGCCGGAUGCGCUCUGGAGAAAGUGCCAGAAGACGACCUUAAAGAGACACUUAUAUACAACGUUUGCAAAAAGUCUCCGUCUAUUUCAGUGUGUGUGUCAUGGUGCAGCAUUUGUUGAGUUUCUUUAACAAGUCACCUGGGGCCUCAUGUAUCAAUGCUGCGUACGCACAAAAACUUUGCGUACGCCAGAUUUCACGCUCAG